UACAGAGGUCUCAAGCGUUGUUCGGAUUCAUUGGGCGUAAAGGGUGCGUAGGCGGCGCGGUAAGUCGGGUGGGAAAUCUCGGGGCUUAACUCCGAAACUGCAUUCGAUACUACCGUGCUUGAGGACUGGAGAGGAGACUGGAAUUUACGGUGUAGCGGUGAAAUGCGUAGAUAUCGUAAGGAAGACCAGUGGCGAAGGCGGGUCUCUGGACAGUUCCUGACGCUGAGGCACGAAGGUCAGGGGAGCAAACGGG
RNAcentral lists this ribosomal RNA (253 nucleotides) under uncultured bacterium. RNAcentral's name for it is "partial 16S ribosomal RNA". It matches the Rfam family "Bacterial small subunit ribosomal RNA", at positions 524 to 776 of the family's 1533-position model. The record is from RNAcentral.